AAGUUUGGUCCUCAGCGGCUUCCGUCCUGCAGCAAGUCCGGAAGAAGGUCCGGGGGCUGGAGUCCUGGGACCUAGCUCGGGACCGGCCUGGAGAUGGAGUUUGACUGCGAGGGCCUGAGACGGCUGCUUGGCAAGAGUCUUGCUCUGUCCCCCAGGCUGGAGUGCAGUGGUGCGAUCUCGGCUCACUGCAACCUCCACCUCCCGGGUUCAAGCCGAUUCUCGUGCCUCAGCCUCCCAAGUAGCUGGGACUACAGUACAAGUUCAGGGACCUAACUGUGGAAGAACUAAAGAAUGUAAAUGUAUUUUUCCCACAUUUCAAAUAUUCCAUGGACACCUAUGUUUUUAAAGAUAGUUCUCAGAAAGACCUGCUGAAUUUUACUGGCACAAUUCCUGUGAUGUAUCAGGUGUCUUACUCUGUAACCCAGGCUGGAGUGCAGUGACACAAUCAUGGCUUACUGCAAACUUCACCUGCCAGGCUCAAGUCAUCUGCCCAUCUCAGCCUCCCCAGUAACUGGGACUAUAGGUAAUACAUACAACAUACCAAUUCGUUUCUGGA
RNAcentral lists this small RNA (556 nucleotides) under Pan troglodytes (chimpanzee). Its description in RNAcentral is "processed transcript". The record is from RNAcentral. Lineage: Eukaryota; Metazoa; Chordata; Mammalia; Primates; Hominidae.